This is a long non-coding RNA of Polyodon spathula (Mississippi paddlefish), 693 nucleotides long. RefSeq lists it as uncharacterized. The record is from RefSeq and is a predicted model, not a curated record. The transcript is spliced from 7 exons. Lineage: Eukaryota; Metazoa; Chordata; Actinopteri; Acipenseriformes; Polyodontidae.
GCUGUCGUGUAAAAUACCCAUUUCAGAUUUGUAUUGUAUUCUUUCUUUCAGGCCGAUCAUGUGGAAGUCCAGGAGAGAUACUUAAUGGACACUUUAAUACUGAUGAGGGUGUUCUUUUUGGAGACAAGGCUUAUGCAGUUUGUGAUGAAGGAUUCCAGUUGGCAGGCAGUGGUGUCAGAUACUGUCGCGCUACUGGCUGGGACGGUGCCAUUCCUAUAUGUGAAAGUAUAAAGUGUCCAGACCCUCCUUCGGUUGUAAAUGGUGAAAUCACAAACCCACCUCAGGAAACUGUCACGUUUGGCACAUCCAUUACCUACACAUGUAGUAAAGGGGUUCUGGUGGGUAAUAGUGAGCUUGUUUGCACCAAAUAUGGAAACUACAGUAGUGAUCCUCCAACAUGUAAAGAUCACAAAGGCUGCCCUUCUGUUCAAGUGUUAAAUGCUGUUAAGACAGCUGGAUUUGGACCAGUUUAUAAAUAUAAGGAUUCCAUUACCUUUGCUUGUAAUCCUGGGUAUAUUCUCAAUGGCACUGCCACGGUUAUCUGUGGAAUAAAUUAAACUUGGGAACCUGAACUUCCGACCUGUGAAGCAUCUCCAACCACACCCACACCAACAACAACCACCACAACCAUAGAAGUGCCUCCAGCACCCUCUCCUGGAGGAUGUGGUAAAACAUGUGGAAUCAUCCUUGGUG